This 425-nucleotide ribosomal RNA is filed under the name uncultured bacterium. RNAcentral's name for it is "partial 16S ribosomal RNA". It matches the Rfam family "Bacterial small subunit ribosomal RNA", at positions 354 to 796 of the family's 1533-position model. The record is from RNAcentral.
GUGGGGAAUAUUGGACAAUGGGCGAAAGCCUGAUCCAGCCAUGCCGCGUGAGUGAUGAAGGCCUUAGGGUUGUAAAGCUCUUUCAGUAGGGAAGAUAAUGACGGUACCUACAGAAGAAGCCCCGGCUAACUUCGUGCCAGCAGCCGCGGUAAUACGAAGGGGGCUAGCGUUGUUCGGAUUUACUGGGCGUAAAGCGCACGUAGGCGGAUUGGUCAGUUAGAGGUGAAAUCCUGGAGCUCAACUCCAGAACUGCCUUUAAUACUGCCAGUCUAGAGUCCAGAAGAGGUGAGUGGAACUCCUAGUGUAGAGGUGGAAUUCGUAGAUAUUAGGAAGAACACCAGUGGCGAAGGCGGCUCACUGGUCCGGUACUGACGCUGAGGUGCGAAAGCGUGGGGAGCAAACAGGAUUAGAAACCCCGGUAGUCC